This is a long non-coding RNA of Nerophis ophidion (straightnose pipefish), 606 nucleotides long. RefSeq lists it as uncharacterized. NCBI's taxonomy places the organism in Eukaryota, Metazoa, Chordata, Actinopteri, Syngnathiformes, Syngnathidae. The record is from RefSeq and is a predicted model, not a curated record. The transcript is spliced from 5 exons.
UGACAUCACUCCCUCUGAUUGAGGAAUGCUCUCCAGGUGCUGGCUUGGGUUCAGGUGUGGAGCAAGACAUACUUGACCACGCCAUCUCUUUCGGCUUCCUCUGCAAGGCACUUGAUCAUCUUGGAGAUCCCCAGUCCUGGCGGCACUCAUGCGCGCUACCACCACCAUGCUUGCUUGCAGGCAGGACACUCUUACAUUCUUGGAAUUCAUAUGUCUCCCUUUUGUGGACUGCAGCUCCCCCAUUCUGGCAGCACUCAUGCACCAUGCUUGACUUGAAAGUAUCUGACGGUCGGGGGCGGCCGGUGGGAGGAGGCAAGAGAGUCAGCAGCUGCAGGAGGAACGACGCAAGCUCUCCGCUCAUGUCUACGGCUACGUUCCAUCUCCGCUGCACCCACGAGAACGCAAACACACACCACGAUGCCAGCCAAACGUCACAACUCCGGCAGUUACCAAAGGCAUACGGACUUUGAUGCCUUCGAUAACAGUUCCAACAUGCUCUGGCUGCCUAUCGCCAUCUCCGUGGAUGAUGUUUAUCCUCAUGACUGUGAGGGCGAUGUCCCUUUCUGCAUCCUCAGUGGCGGAGGCCUGAACAACGACACAAAAACA